This 86-nucleotide transfer RNA is filed under the name Streptomyces sp. 1-11. RNAcentral describes it as "tRNA-Pro". The record is from RNAcentral. Lineage: Bacteria; Bacillati; Actinomycetota; Actinomycetes; Kitasatosporales; Streptomycetaceae.
CCGCCGCGUGGGCCGGGGCCGAGGUGCUGGGGUCGCCGCCGGCCUUGUCGUCCUUGCCGCCGCUGUUCAGGGCCAGUGCGACGACC